AGAGUUAGCCGUCUCUUCCUCUUGAGGUACUAUCAACCUUGCACGCUUCUCACGCACAAGGCUUGCUCCCUCAUGACAGCGGUUUACAAUCCGAAGACCUUCUUCCCUCACGCGGCGUUGCUGGGUCAGGCUUGCGCCCAUUGCCCAAUAUUCCCCACUGCUGCCUCCCGUAGGAGUCUGGACCGUGUCUCAGUUCCAGUGUGGCCGAUCAGCCUCUCAGCUCGGCUACCCAUCGUUGGCUAGGUGGGCCGUUACCCCGCCUACUACCUAAUGGGACGCGAACCCCUCCUUCUGCGGAUUGCUCCUUUGACCCCUGAGCCAUGCGACUCUGUGGUCUUAUGCGGUAUUAGCACUUGUUUCCAGGUGUUAUCCCCCUCAAAAGGGCAGGUUGUUCACGCGUUACUCACCCGUUCGCCACUAGCUAUAAAUCCGAAAACCUAUAGCCCGUUCGACUUGCAUGUGUUAGGCACGCCGCCAGCGUUCGUCCUGAGCCAUAAUCAAACUCUGA
This 508-nucleotide ribosomal RNA is filed under the name uncultured bacterium. RNAcentral's name for it is "partial 16S ribosomal RNA". The record is from RNAcentral.